GGGGAUAAUUGGUUUUGACAGCAGGUAGAAUAGGUAUGUAAGCAUGCCGGGCAUGAGCACCGCCCGUAAACAGGGCUCAAACAGUUUAACUGGCAACAACAAUGUAGCUCUCGCUGCAUAGUCUGAAGUAUAGUAGGACUACUUUUUCCUGAUGCAAGGCAUCGGGACGAGACAUCGCUCCAAGCCCGUCUUCACGGCUGAAUGGAUAUAGCGGUGCAGAAAUUGCGAAGAUAGUCUCUCCGAGCCGUGGCGGAGAGGCGAAAAUCAAGCGGAUAAGCCGACGGUUGGUGGUUCGGGUCUUGCCGUCGGACGAAAAUGAAGGCCGGAAUAAGCAUGUAGAAAGCGUAUUGAUUCCUUGUUUGGACG
This 366-nucleotide transfer-messenger RNA is filed under the name human gut metagenome. It matches the Rfam family "transfer-messenger RNA". From Rfam's summary of the family: Bacterial tmRNA, also known as 10Sa RNA or SsrA, is named for its dual tRNA and mRNA-like properties. Its role is to liberate the mRNA from a stalled ribosome. The record is from RNAcentral.